Molecule: long non-coding RNA, 1767 nt
Filed under: Mus musculus (house mouse)
Lineage: Eukaryota; Metazoa; Chordata; Mammalia; Rodentia; Muridae
Description: long non-coding RNA chr13:114635085-114636852
Source: RNAcentral
CAGAACUUUUGAUCCACUUAUUUCAAGACGAGUUGAAGGCCACAGUCAGAAUUCAAACAUACCAAGGAGGAGAAACUUCAAAUUUCAGAGCAAAAAAGUGAUUGAGAGCAUUGUGAUUGUUUUAAGACUGAAGAAGAGAAACAAAGGACUAGGCUAGAUGUAUCUCCAAAUACUGGAGAGUUGAAGAGGAAACUAGACCCAUCCCCUGCACUCUCAAUGGAAAGAAUUAAAACCAACACAAGGGACAAAAGUAGACAUUUCAGUUCAGCAUGAGUAAGGGAUGGGUCUGUCACUCUAACUAUGGUGAAGAUAAGUGGUGGCCAUGGAGGUGAUGCUAUCUGUUGCCCGAUGUGAGUUGUUGGGAAUAUAAAAUGCAUAAGUCAUAGUUUCUUUCUUCAAGUGACUCUCAAUGCAGUGAGGGAAAGGCAUAAAGGUUGAGACAGCCAUACACAGAAGAAAGCAGCAUGUGUCAUCCGACUUGCUCACUGGGAUCUAAGCUUCUUGGGGACAAAUCUGUUUGAAUCCCUGAUACCUCAUCUGUUCUUGGUGCACAGAAAAGAUUCCAUAUAUUCAUGUUGGCUGAUUUGUACUGACAGUUGCAAGUUUACUCUGGUUGUGAUUUCUGUAUUGGAAUCCUAAAGAGAAGGCAAUUGCAGCAACACAGGAAUGAUACAGGGAUUGUGUAACUGGCAAAAGCAGCCAAGACAAAAGGAUGGAGGUGCAUUUGAGAGGUAUUUCAGGUAUGAAAUUUAUGGGAUUUCUGCGACUGAUGUGAUGUGGGUGGGGGGUGGAACUGGCAAACUUGUUACGGUGAGAAGCUGGUGAGUCAUGGCAACCAAGCAGGAUUUGGAAAUAGAGGGAGUGGAGAAUUUGGACGCUUCAGCAGAGAGAGCCUUGUAUAGGGCAUUUGACACUGAAUAAUGGUUUGUGUAUAGACCACAAUUAUAUGUCAUCAGUGCACACUAGGGUGAAGUUAGUGUGGAUGAAGUCAGCGCAGGCAAGUGGGCAAAGUAAAGUAAGAAGAGUGAGGUUAAGCUCUGGGAAUGCACGUGUUAAGGAGGUUGAAGGUGAACACUAAAUAGGAAGUGAUCCCAAGGAAAGCUCCAGUUGUGAAGGAGUAUACCUACAGAACUCGGCACUGAAACAUGAAGCAGGGUUCCUUCACAAAGAGAUGGCCAGUAUUCAUUGGCAAUACCAUUGUUAACGCUUCCAAUGACAAGACAUAACUGGGGGAAUGGUGAGUAUUGAGUGGACAGAUGGUGAUACAUCUGAAAAACCUUUCAUAGGAACUCUCAGAGUGGGGUAGUCUUUCCAUGUUUAAAACAUACAAAUAAUCUCCCCCAGAUCACUGGCAAUGGGAUGUUCAGAAAAAAGUUUAGAUGGCUAUGUUGAACCAUUUUAUACUAUUGCUUUUUUUUAAUGUGACAUGUCAACAUGAAUGCACAUAUUUGUAUAUUUUCUUUUUUUAAUUUAUUAUUUCUAUAGGGGGCUCUGAGGUUUUAAAAUUUAUGUAUUUCUUCUCCCUCUUCUAGGUUUGACUAAAUGAAAAUAGAAAUUCAUUGUUGAAGGCUGCUUCAUUUAAUCAGUUUGCACAGAAAAAGAUAUGGUCAACCUGACAUUCAAUGCUCAUCUGACAUCUUAUAAUGAUAGGAUGUCUCACUGUAAGGCUUCAUAAGUUCUUAAACUCUUAGUUUACUGUGUGUUUUGUGUACUGAACCAAACAUAGACAUAAACAAAUAUAUGGAAAUACAUUCAUUUCUUUUUCUC